CCUACGGGAGGCUGCAGUGGGGAAUAUUGGACAAUGGGCGAAAGCCUGAUCCAGCCAUGCCGCGUGUGUGAAGAAGGCCUUCGGGUUGUAAAGCACUUUCAGUGGGGAAGAAAGCCUUGGGGCUAAUACCCUCGAGGAAGGACAUCACCCACAGAAGAAGCACCGGCUAACUCCGUGCCAGCAGCCGCGGUAAUACGGAGGGUGCGAGCGUUAAUCGGAAUUACUGGGCGUAAAGCGCGCGUAGGCGGUCUGAUAAGCCGGUUGUGAAAGCCCCGGGCUCAACCUGGGAACGGCAUCCGGAACUGUCAGGCUAGAGUGCAGGAGAGGAUGGUAGAAUUCCCGGUGUAGCGGUGAAAUGCGUAGAGAUCGGGAGGAAUACCAGUGGCGAAGGCGGCCUUCUGGACUGACACUGACGCUGAGGUGCGAAAGCGUGGGUAGCAAACAGGAUUAGAUACCCUAGUAGUC
This 465-nucleotide ribosomal RNA is filed under the name Vreelandella stevensii. Its description in RNAcentral is "partial 16S ribosomal RNA". It matches the Rfam family "Bacterial small subunit ribosomal RNA", at positions 338 to 795 of the family's 1533-position model. Lineage: Bacteria; Pseudomonadati; Pseudomonadota; Gammaproteobacteria; Oceanospirillales; Halomonadaceae. The record is from RNAcentral.